AACUGGUCUAACUACCAAAACUCACAUGCCCUCGGCACAAACUGAUACAAAACCCACAAUCUGGGUCCACCGUCAACCCCGACGGCACCCGACAGUCUGAAACAGCUUAGACACUACUGUAAAAAUAAGCUCUGCAUCUCCGCACGAGCGUAACUGCAUUCUACACUAUUCCGGAUAUCUACCGCCAACAAACUGCGGUGAUACAGAUCUACUACAGCUCCUAAGCUUUCAGCGUAUCAAAUGCACACAACAGU
Molecule: long non-coding RNA, 254 nt
Filed under: Ananas comosus (pineapple)
Lineage: Eukaryota; Viridiplantae; Streptophyta; Magnoliopsida; Poales; Bromeliaceae
Description: long non-coding RNA (ACOM_LNC038915)
Source: RNAcentral